ACUCAUUUUUCGUAGCAUAUCAUAUAUACAGUCAACUAGAAAUGACGGUAUAUAUGAUAUGCUACGAAAAAUGAGUU
RNAcentral lists this small RNA (77 nucleotides) under Mytilus galloprovincialis (Mediterranean mussel). Lineage: Eukaryota; Metazoa; Mollusca; Bivalvia; Mytilida; Mytilidae. The record is from RNAcentral.